CAAUAGCGUAUAUUAAAGUUGUUGCGGUUAAAAAGCUCGUAGUUGGAUUUCUGCUGAGAACGACCGGUCCGCCCUCUGGGUGUGUAUCUGGCUCUUUCUUGGCAUCUUCUUGGUGAACGUUGCUGCACUUGACUGUGUGGAGCGCUACCCAGGACUUUUACUUUGAGGAAAUUAGAGUGUUUCAAGCAGGCAUACGCCUUGAAUACAUUAGCAUGGAAUAAUAAGAUAGGACCUCGGUUCUAUUUUGUUGGUUUCUAGAGCUGAGGUAAUGAUUAAUAGGGAUAGUUGGGGGCAUUCGUAUUUAACUGUCAGAGGUGAAAUUCUUGGAUUUGUGAAAGACGGACUACUGCGAAAGCAUUUGCCAAGGAUGUUUNCAUUGA
This 380-nucleotide ribosomal RNA is filed under the name uncultured eukaryote. RNAcentral describes it as "partial 18S ribosomal RNA". It matches the Rfam family "Eukaryotic small subunit ribosomal RNA", at positions 592 to 976 of the family's 1831-position model. The record is from RNAcentral.